AGAGUUUGAUCCUGGCUCAGGAUGAACGCUGGCGGCGUGCUUAACACAUGCAAGUCGAACGGAAAGGCCUCUUCGGAGGUACUCGAGUGGCGAACGGGUGAGUAACACGUGGGCAAUCUGCCCUGCACUUCGGGAUAAGCCUGGGAAACUGGGUCUAAUACCGGAUAGGACCUCAAGACGCAUGUCUUCUGGUGGAAAGCUUUUGCGGUGUGGGAUGGGCCCGCGGCCUAUCAGCUUGUUGGUGGGGUGACGGCCUACCAAGGCGACGACGGGUAGCCGGCCUGAGAGGGUGUCCGGCCACACUGGGACUGAGAUACGGCCCAGACUCCUACGGGAGGCAGCAGAAGGG
This 349-nucleotide ribosomal RNA is filed under the name uncultured Mycobacterium sp. RNAcentral describes it as "bacterial SSU rRNA". It matches the Rfam family "Bacterial small subunit ribosomal RNA", at positions 8 to 359 of the family's 1533-position model. Lineage: Bacteria; Bacillati; Actinomycetota; Actinomycetes; Mycobacteriales; Mycobacteriaceae. The record is from RNAcentral.